UAUAGUUUUCCGUAUUUCAAUUAAGGUUUAAGAGAUAAACCAUACUUUUUCGCGGCUUAUCUUAAGGAACACUCAAGAUAUGGUUUAAGCUGGUCAGGUGUGGUUUAUCUAUGAUAUUGAUUGAUAAACAAAAUUUAUAAUUUUAAUAAACAGUUAAAUAGUUAAACUUUAAACAGUUAAUAGACUGUAGUUUAUAUAGAAUAUAGUUGAAGGUACUACAACUCUAGUACGUAACUAAUAUAUUUUAUAAAAAAACGGCAUACAAUUAUGGAUUCUUCGUCAAGUUCAAGUGAUGAUGAAACUGUAAUUGCAUUUGUAAAUAGACUUGGUCAGCCAAGAAAACAACGCAUUUUUCGAAACCGAAUCGAUAAUUUUCUCGAGUGGGACGAGAACGAAUUUUUUAAUCGAUUUCGUUUCUAAACGAUGUGUAAAUAUUGUAUUGGACCUAAUCACAUUCAAAAUUCAAUCGUCUACUGACCGGAAUCAUGCAGUUAUACCAGCACAAAUGAUUUUAAUUACAAUACGUUUCCUUGCAUCUAGUGGUAUGUUAAUCACAGUAGGAGAUUUUACAGGAAUACAUAAAACAACGGCUGGAAAACAUAUAUGGAAGGUUUUACAAGCUAUAGCCGAAUUAAAAUCUACAUUUUUAACAUUUCCGAAUGAUCCAAUGACUAUUCAAAAUUAAAAAAAAAAUUUUUAUAAUAUUGCAAAAUUUCCCAAAGUUGUUGGUGCAUUGGAUUGUACGCAUGUAAAAAUACAGUCACCUGGUGGAUUAAACGCAGAAAUA
Metopolophium dirhodum (rose-grain aphid) is the source of this 787-nucleotide long non-coding RNA. RefSeq lists it as uncharacterized. The record is from RefSeq and is a predicted model, not a curated record. The transcript has 3 exons. Lineage: Eukaryota; Metazoa; Arthropoda; Insecta; Hemiptera; Aphididae.